Molecule: ribosomal RNA, 523 nt
Filed under: fungal endophyte
Lineage: Eukaryota; Fungi
Description: eukaryotic LSU rRNA
Rfam family: 5.8S ribosomal RNA (bases 154-307)
Source: RNAcentral
UCGGGUCGUAGUUUCUUCUGACCAUCCUGUGUGACAUACCUAUACGUUGCCUCGGCGGAUCAGCCCGCGCCCCGUAAAAAGGGACGGCCCGCCCGAGGACCCCUAAACUCUGUUUUUAGUGGAACUUCUGAGUAAAACAAACAAAUAAAUCAAAACUUUCAACAACGGAUCUCUUGGUUCUGGCAUCGAUGAAGAACGCAGCAAAAUGCGAUAAGUAAUGUGAAUUGCAGAAUUCAGUGAAUCAUCGAAUCUUUGAACGCACAUUGCGCCCGCCAGUAUUCUGGCGGGCAUGCCUGUUCGAGCGUCAUUUCAACCCUCAAGCUCAGCUUGGUGUUGGGACUCGCGGUAACCCGCGUUCCCCAAAUCGAUUGGCGGUCACGUCGAGCUUCCAUAGCGUAGUAAUCAUACACCUCGUUACUGGUAAUCGUCGCGGCCACGCCGUAAAACCCCAACUUCUGAAUGUUGACCUCGGAUCAGGUAGGAAUACCCGCUGAACUUAAGCAUAUCAAUAGGCCGGGAGGAA